Molecule: ribosomal RNA, 395 nt
Filed under: Paenarthrobacter aurescens
Lineage: Bacteria; Bacillati; Actinomycetota; Actinomycetes; Micrococcales; Micrococcaceae
Description: bacterial SSU rRNA
Rfam family: Bacterial small subunit ribosomal RNA
Source: RNAcentral
CGUAGGGCGCAAGCGUUAUCCGGAAUUAUUGGGCGUAAAGAGCUCGUAGGCGGUUUGUCGCGUCUGCUGUGAAAGACCGGGGCUCAACUCCGGUUCUGCAGUGGGUACGGGCAGACUAGAGUGCAGUAGGGGAGACUGGAAUUCCUGGUGUAGCGGUGAAAUGCGCAGAUAUCAGGAGGAACACCGAUGGCGAAGGCAGGUCUCUGGGCUGUAACUGACGCUGAGGAGCGAAAGCAUGGGGAGCGAACAGGAUUAGAUACCCUGGUAGUCCAUGCCGUAAACGUUGGGCACUAGGUGUGGGGGACAUUCCACGUUUUCCGCGCCGUAGCUAACGCAUUAAGUGCCCCGCCUGGGGAGUACGGCCGCAAGGCUAAAACUCAAAUGAAUUGACGGGG